This 463-nucleotide ribosomal RNA is filed under the name uncultured bacterium. Its description in RNAcentral is "partial 16S ribosomal RNA". It matches the Rfam family "Bacterial small subunit ribosomal RNA", at positions 28 to 507 of the family's 1533-position model. The record is from RNAcentral.
GAUGAACGCUGACAGAAUGCUUAACACAUGCAAGUCGAUGGGGAAGUGGUGCUUUCCCCAUGGCCACCAUGGCGGACGGGUGAGUAACGCGUAAGGGACUUACCUGCAGGACUGGGAUAACAGGGGGAAACUCCUGACAAGACCGGAUAAUGUCAUGGAGCUGCAUGGCUUUAUGAUGAAAGGAGACGCCUGCGGAGAGCCUUGCGUCCUAUUAGCUAGUUGGUGAGGUAAUGGCUCACCAAGGCGAAGAUAGGUAGCCGGCCUGAGAGGGUGGACGGCCACAAGGGGACUGAGAUACGGCCCUUACUCCUACGGGAGGCAGCAGUGGGGAAUAUUGGACAAUGGGGGCAACCCUGAUCCAGCAAUUCUGUGUGCACGAAGAAGGUUUUCGGAUUGUAAAGUGCUUUCAGCAGGGAAGAAGUAAGUGACGGUACCUGCAGAAGAAGCGACGGCUAAAUACGUG